This 621-nucleotide ribosomal RNA is filed under the name uncultured bacterium. RNAcentral describes it as "bacterial SSU rRNA". It matches the Rfam family "Bacterial small subunit ribosomal RNA", at positions 338 to 1331 of the family's 1533-position model. The record is from RNAcentral.
CCUACGGGAGGCAGCAGUGGGGAAUUUUGGACAAUGGACGCAAGUCUGAUCCAGCAAUGCCGCGUGCAGGACGAAGGCCUUCGGGUUGUAAACUGCUUUUGUACGGAACGAAACGGUCUGCUUUAAUACAGUGGGCUAAUGACGGUACCGUAAGAAUAAGCACCGGCUAACUACGUGCCAGCAGCCGCGGUAAUACGUAGGGUGCGAGCGUUAAUCGGAAUUACUGGGCGUAAAGCGUGCGCAGGCGGUUAUAUAAGUCAGAUGUGAAAUCCCCGGGCUCAACCUGGGACCUGCAUUUGAGACUGUAUAGCUAGAGUACGGUAGAGGGGGAUGGAAUUCCGCGUGUAGCAGUGAAAUGCGUAGAUAUGCGGAGGAACACCGAUGGCGAAGGCAAUCCCCUGGACCUGUACUGACGCUCAUGCACGAAAGCGUGGGGAGCAAACAGGAUUAGAUACCCUGGUAGUCCACGCCCUAAACGAUGUCAACUGGUUGUCGGGUCUUCACUGACUCAGUAACGAAGCUAACGCGUGAAGUUGACCGCCUGGGGAGUACGGCCGCAAGGUUGAAACUCAAAAGAGUAGUAGGCGNGNGAGAGCGACGACGACGACACGGAGGGAGGAG